UAGGGAAUCUUCCACAAUGGACGCAAGUCUGAUGGAGCAACGCCGCGUGAGUGAAGAAGGUCUUCGGAUCGUAAACUCUGUUGUUAGAGAAGACACGAGUGAGAGUAACUGUUCAUUCGAUGACGGUAUCUAACCAGCAAGUCACGGCUAACUACGUGCCAG
Molecule: ribosomal RNA, 162 nt
Filed under: uncultured bacterium
Lineage: Bacteria
Description: partial 16S rRNA
Rfam family: Bacterial small subunit ribosomal RNA
Source: RNAcentral